Molecule: ribosomal RNA, 324 nt
Filed under: uncultured eukaryote
Lineage: Eukaryota
Description: partial 18S ribosomal RNA
Rfam family: Eukaryotic small subunit ribosomal RNA
Source: RNAcentral
CCCUUAGAUGCUCUGGGCCGCACGCGCGUUACACUGGUCGAUGCAACGAGUUUCUUUCCUUGGCCGACAGGCCUGGGCAAUCUUUGAACAUCGAUCGUGAUCGGGAUAGAUUCUUGUAAUUUUUGAUCUUAAACGAGGAAUUCCUAGUAAACGCAAGUCAUCAGCUUGCAUUGAUUACGUCCCUGCCCUUUGUACACACCGCCCGUCGCACCUACCGAUUGAAUGGUCCGGUGAAAUCUCCGGACUGGCGUGAGUCGGAGCAAUCUGACAAACACCGGAAAGUUGAUUAAACCUUACCAUUUAGAGGAAGGUGAAGUCGUAACA